CAAUAAAGAAGUCAUCGGUCAAAGGGGUUAAGAACGAAACACAGAAAGGACAGAAAGAAAAAGAGACUAGGCUCAUGGCAAUAUGCGAGCACUGGAGGUUCUAAUAAAAUGUGAGUGUGGGGUGCCAGCUAAUUCAAAUGUAAGGCUAAAGGUGGCUUAGAAGUAAAGUAUUAGGAUAAGGAAACACAUUAAAUGAAGAAAAGGCAGCAUACAUACAUGUGUUCAUAGCAGUGUAAUUACUUCAUGUAGGAGCCUGGAAAUAUUCGUAUCACUGGGAAAGGGCGUGGUAAACAGGGUAGAACCUUCACAGACCAUUGUGAGGUCAGCAGGAACGUGAAGAGCGUGAGGUCAGUGUAUAGAAAAUAAGCACGACCGUUUAUACUACAACUACAGCCACACCCCAGAAAAGCAGGGGUCCGUGACCCCCACAGCCGGUCGCCACAUCGAGCCCUGGGCAUAAGGGAGAGUUCUAUUUGGAUGCGGUCCAGGAGCGCGCGUAAUCCUGUCAAGGUUGGAAGACGAUGCAAGUGUUUCCCAUGGCAGGACGGUGACUCUCUUCAAACACGAACACUGAUCUGAAUUACAAAAUGUCCUAAAAGAAAGAACAUCCUGACCAAAUGGAGAAGUCAGCAUGAAGCAGGAAAUGGAGGCAAGGUGCAAAAACCCGUCUUGGACGCCAGGACUGGUCGGGGAAGACAUGUCCAGGCUCACAGACCACCAUCCACUUGGCCAGCCCAUGGGAGUGGGGGCACCUGAUGCCCUCAAAGCCUGCUGACACCCACUGGGGCCCAUGCAGGUACCACUCGUUGUGCUGCAGAAAUGCUUGAGGCAACACCUGUGCUGAUGCAAGGGGUGGUCACUGUGCUGGCAAGAGACCUCACUGGCUGGUCCCCAAGACCCCUGUACUUAGUUCAUAACUGG
Molecule: long non-coding RNA, 921 nt
Filed under: Homo sapiens (human)
Lineage: Eukaryota; Metazoa; Chordata; Mammalia; Primates; Hominidae
Description: HSALNT0207007
Source: RNAcentral